RNAcentral lists this long non-coding RNA (532 nucleotides) under Sinocyclocheilus grahami. Its description in RNAcentral is "lncRNA (ENSSGRG00000054331.1)". The record is from RNAcentral. Lineage: Eukaryota; Metazoa; Chordata; Actinopteri; Cypriniformes; Cyprinidae.
GUCUGUGUCUUUGCAUGGAUAAUCCAUGAAGUGGGUCUCGUUUCAUUUUGUUACUUUAUUUUAUAAUUUCUACAGGUGAAGAUGUUAACCAGGCUCUCAGAAACAAUCAUGUUUCAGAGGACAUUGCAGAACAGGAUACAAAUGAAGAUGGAGAUGAGUCUGAAAACAAUGAAGAAACAAUGGAUGAAGAUGUUAACCAGGCCCUCAAAAACAAUCAUGUUGCCGAGAACUAUAAAAAACAGGACAUAAAUGAAGAUGGAGCUGAGUCUGAGAAAAAUGAAGAAGAAUGGAUGGAUGAUAAUGAAUCUGGCCAAGACCUUUACAGUUAUGAAGAGAAUAAUCAGGAAAUUAGUAAAGCCCAAGACCUCACUGGACCCGCACAAGACGGGAAUAUCAACGAUUAACAAGUUAAAUGACAAGCACUGAGCAGCAGGGACUCAGAAAUAACUAACACUUUACAAUAAGGUUAAUUUGUUAACAUUAAUGCAUUAAGUAACAUGAUCCAGCAAUGAAGAAUAUAUUUUUGCAGCAU